RNAcentral lists this ribosomal RNA (479 nucleotides) under uncultured bacterium. Its description in RNAcentral is "partial 16S ribosomal RNA". It matches the Rfam family "Bacterial small subunit ribosomal RNA", at positions 28 to 507 of the family's 1533-position model. The record is from RNAcentral.
GAUGAACGCUGGCGGCGUGCUUAACACAUGCAAGUCGAACGAAGCACCUUGAUUUGAUUCUUCGGAUGAAGAUCUUGGUGACUGAGUGGCGGACGGGUGAGUAACGCGUGGGUAACCUGCCUCAUACAGGGGGAUAACAGUUAGAAAUGACUGCUAAUACCGCAUAAGACCACAGCACCGCAUGGUGCAGGGGUAAAAACUCCGGUGGUAUGAGAUGGACCCGCGUCUGAUUAGGUAGUUGGUGGGGUAACGGCCUACCAAGCCGACGAUCAGUAGCCGACCUGAGAGGGUGACCGGCCACAUUGGGACUGAGACACGGCCCAAACUCCUACGGGAGGCAGCAGUGGGGAAUAUUGCACAAUGGGGGAAACCCUGAUGCAGCGACGCCGCGUGAGCGAUGAAGUAUUUCGGUAUGUAAAGCUCUAUCAGCAGGGAAGAAAAUGACGGUACCUGACGAAGAAGCACCGGCUAAAUACGUA